UACGGGGGGAGCAAACGUUGUUCGGAAUCACUGGGCUUAAAGGGCGCGUAGGCGGGUGCUCAAGUCCGGGGUGAAAUCCUCCAGCUCAACUGGAGAACUGCCUCGGAUACUGGGUGCCUCGAGGGUGGUAGGGGUAUGCGGAACUAUCGGUGGAGCGGUGAAAUGCGUUGAUAUCGAUAGGAACUCCGGUGGCGAAGGCGGCAUACUGGACCACUUCUGACGCUGAGGCGCGAAAGCUAGGGGAGCAAACAGG
This 253-nucleotide ribosomal RNA is filed under the name uncultured bacterium. RNAcentral describes it as "partial 16S ribosomal RNA". It matches the Rfam family "Bacterial small subunit ribosomal RNA", at positions 524 to 776 of the family's 1533-position model. The record is from RNAcentral.